GACUUUUGAUUGCCAGCGCGCUGGCGGGAGCCGCGCGCUGGCGGCAGCUGCAGGGCGAAUAGCCCGCCAAGUUGCUUAGGUGUGUGGCAGUUGCUGCCUUUCUGCAGCGGCGGGGUGGGCGACGGUGGCGGGAUGAGCAUCCAGGCGGGAUCCUUUGGCGGCAGCAGCAGAGAGAGCUCCACCCGGAUAAUGCAGAGGCCCAGGCUCCAGCGGACUUCAAGUCCCAGAGCAGGCUGCACCCGCGUCUGCGUGAAAUCUAAAGGGACUUGGCCUGAUCACAAAUGAGCUAACUUCGCGGCGGGGCUGGCGAACACAGACAAUGCCAGCCUGGAGGAGGCAGUGGCCAGCACUGCUUAGGCCUCGUUCCCAGGACGCGCAUUACUGAGUGCUGUACUUUACCCUUUGGAUGAAGGCUCCAGAGUACGACCUCCCCAAACUGAUAUCAAAGAAGUGCUUUGCAUGGGGCUUGAGAAAACAUCUUACUGUUUAAGAAAAGAACGUCUUACUGUCUGAGAAGCUGAAUAGAAUGAGAUGCCAUCAGUAUUGGGUGUUAUUUUUCAGAAGUUGCUCAAAGAAGGAGAGAAGAUGGUUAAGUGGGGAUGGAGACAAUUAUUUUGUAACUCAUAGAAGGACAGAUGUUUAUGUAACAGUUGAUAGUUUUGGUGGAAUAAUCAUGAGCAUGUUUCUGAAAUUAAUAUAAAAUAUACAGAGACCCCUAAAAUCACUGCUUAAAUUACACGGGUCUUGAGGUGUUCGGAAAGAGCAAACUUUGGAAGUAUAAUUGUAAAAAUAAUGUCAUACAGACAAAGAGAAGAGAAAACUUAACGACAGCUUUCUUAAAUCGCUGUUAUUCUUGAAUCAUCUGAAAGCAGUACACGUGCCUGGCACCAAUAUACAUCAGAGAGUAAAUCAUUGCACAAGGAGACUUGAUCUUCUUUUUUUGUAGAAUCUGGAGGAAACAAAUCUAUGAAAAGCAAGAGAUGGUAGAGAAUGGUGUUGUCGAAAUUGCCUGACAUCAUUGGAGAUAGAGAAUUUGCCCUGGUAAAAGGUGCUCCUCAGGGAGGAGCAUCUGCACAUUCCAUUAGCAUAAAGCCCCUGGUGGGCCAUAUGAAGAAGUCUGGAUUUUGCUAUAAAUGUGAAAUUUAUUUUAAAUGGAGGAUUUGAAGCAGGGGGGUAAUAUACCCUGACAUAUUUUAAAAAAUCACCCUAGCAGCGUUUGUGCGGGGUAAAGACUCUGGGAGGACAAGAAGAGAUGUGGAAGGGAGAAGGCAGCUAAGAGUCUGUCCCAGGAUUGCAAAGAUGUUGGAGCCCGACCUCAGAUGGUAAUGGUGGAAGUGUUAGAAAUGGCUGGAUUCCACAUUUAUUUUGAAGGGCCAGCCCUUGGAAUUUGCUUAUGGAUGUUCCAUAAAUAAGAGAAACAGAGGGCUCAAUGACGAUUCCUGGGCUUUUGACUUGAGCAACUAGAAGGAUGGGGAAGUCUGAGGACAGAGAUGCUGUGUGUGUCAGGAGUGGGGUGUGUGUGUGUGUGUGUGUGUAAAAUUCUACUUUUGACAUGUCGAAUUGGAGAUGCUAAUCCACUCCAACUGAAAAAUAAGGAGGGAAGUGGACAUUCAACACAUGAUGACAGGAAGACAGGGAAGCUGGGACUUAUGAUGGUAACAAUGUUGGCCAUUAACUGAGAAUUUUUUUUUUUUUUGACACAGAGUCUUGCUCUAUUGCUCAGGCUGGAGUGCAGUGGCAUGAUGUCGGUUCACUGCAACCUCCACCUCCUGUGUUCAAGCGAUUCUCAUACCUCAGCCUCCUGAGCAGCUGGGAUUACAGGAGCCUGCCACCAUGCCCAGCUAACUUUUGUUUUUCUAGUGGAGAUGGGGUUUCAUCAUGUUGGCCAGGCUGGGGUCGAACUCCUGGCCUCAGGUGCUCUGCCUGCCUCAGCCUCCCAAAGUACUGGGAUUACAGAUGUAAGCCACCACGUCAGGCCUAAGAAAUAUAAUUAAAGUACAGGGAAAAUUAAAAGAAAGUUCACAGAGAGAUAUCACGGCAAAUGAUAAAUACAAAAGCCUGCCUUGUUUCCCAUACCCCCUGUGUCUUAGAUUCCCUGAAUUUUACCUCCCAGUGGACCGUGCUUGUCCCUUUGUAAUGGCGCUCCAAGCAGCACUGCUGCACACCAAUUCCUGAGCUUCCCUGCUUCUUGAGCUUAGGAAUAGUUGUGCUUCUAUUUCCUGUUUAUUUGCUCAUCACUGGAGUAGCAACUGAACCACACAAUUGGGAUAAGUACCCUGAGGCCAUUUUGGGAGUAAUCUUCCAUUUCUUCCUUACGUAUAAAACUGCCCCUCACAGAGAAACUGUCUAGAGUGAUAGGUCCAGAGUAGAGCUCUAGCUUUGCUUUACCCUUUGCAGCUGUGCUCUGAGAGCUUUGAUGCAAUCCCACUGCAACUGGAAUCAGUGACAGAGUAGGGAUGCUCAGGGAAUCUGUUGGGCCACCAAAGAAAACUCACUUCUAGCUAAUGCUUAUCUGGGGCUAUGGAAGUUGUCUAACAUCCCUGGGGACAGAGUGUUUGCCCUGAAAAGGAACAUUCCCUUGGCACAAAGUAUCCUGUUGGCUGGAUUUUAUUAUAAAUGUGACAAGAAUGCUUUUGGCCAGUAACUGGUGGUUGGGUCAGUUUGUGUUUUGUAAACCCAUAAAGAGGAAAAGGCUCUCAUGUGGUUGGGAGAGGUGGGAAUGGAUCAUGCACUAAGGUCAGGUCUGGUGAAGUUAGGGAAUAAGGCCAGUGUUUACGAAGAGUGAUUCCUUCAUGAACCCCUAAAAGAUGCUCUGGAACACUACCAGUAGGAUGAUGUCUGUAUGUAGAGGUGCAGAUGACAUGUUCUCGGAAUACAGAGGAAGGCACCACUGCCUCUACCUUGAGAGUAUAUCACAGAGAAAGAUUUAUAUUUGGACUAGAUGGCUGAGAGAUGAGUAGGAGUUUGAUAGAAGAGAGCAUGGAAACUGGCUGUACAACGGCAGAAAGGGCAGGAAAGGCUGAGGAGAAUUGGCCUCUGGGGGUGGGUUAUAGAUAUGGGCCUGGGCACCACAUUCUGGAGCUUGCAAUGGGGUAUGUAAAAGCUUAGAUGGGAUGGUCUUUUCCUCUCCUCCCAUGGGUUCAUAGUUGGCCCACCUCACUCACUGCUGCAAACAAGCUGCCCCCAUUUGAGAGAGAGCUGGAGUGGGGUCUCUAAGCCUCCAGCAACCACUUAGGAGCUAGCCUUGAUGCCCCAGCAGCUAACCUCAUGGAGACCCCAUAGUCCAUCCUAUCUUGGGAAGACAAUGCAGGCAUGGGGAAGGUAACAUUCCCCUCCAGACUCCAGAGGCUCCAAGGAGCCUCUCUCUCUCUUCAAGAAAAGAAAUAGUCACUGAGCCACGGGUGGAGGUGAACAUGGUUUGGGACCAACAGGCGGCUGGAUGGUUUCACCUCCACGGUCAUACAAUGGUACUGGGAGAUGAAUGGGGGUAGGGCGAUCUAGAAUUAGUUCAACCUCAACUUCCAGUGGGGUGGUGCUUGGAGUUGACUCAUUGUGGCCCCAUUUAAUAUUCGCAGUCACCAGUUGGGGUAGGUGGGACUGUUGCUCCCAUUUCACAGAUCAGGACAGGAUAGUUUGCUAGAGGUCACAGGACUAGUUGGGGAAAGGAAAGGGUGUCAGGUAGGAUUUUAACCUUAGAGCCUCACGUUUUCUUAGGCUCUUUCAGGGGGACCUUGGGCAAAUUCCGUUCUCUCUUGGUGGGGGGGGGUCUCCAUUCCUUAUUUGUAAAUUAAGGAGUUCUUCCAGUUUGUGAUUCUCUGUACUUUAACUUGGAUAGGUUUUGUAAAAUGGGGAUUAUGGGAACCCCACUAUAUUUAAGUAGAGUAGGUCUGGGGUGAGGCCCAGUAAUCUGCAGCUUUGAACAAACCUCGGCAUCCACAAAACUGGCUGAGAUACUCAGGGAAAGUUUAUGAUGCAUGAAAAUCUUAUUGCGAGCUGUCCAAAACACAUAACACUGAGCUCCAUCUGCAGAGAUCCUGUUUUGAUACCCUUGGUUGGACUGUGGCUGGGUAAUUUGCAUUUGUCAGAAGUGAGGCCAGUCACCUGGUCAACAACCCCUCCUGUCGCUCUGUGACCCUCCCCGGGCGUCCGCGGUGCUUCUUUACUUGCAUCUUGUGGGAAUGACAUCUGCGCAGGCAGCCCCUUUUUAGCACCGCUCCUCGCACGCGAGCCCAGCCCUUAAAAACCCAGCCCAGCCCCGGGUUUGCAGAUACUCAGGGCAGGGGAAGGCGCCUUUCCGCAUUUGGUGUAGUCCCGCAUGCUGCCAUUUGAUGUCGCGGGAGAACGCGCCUACAGGGAUAGGGCGGGGCAAGGAGGCGAGGAAGGAAAAAAAGCGACAAGUGAAGACUGACAUCCAUUAAGGUCAAUGGUAGCUCAAUCUUCGGUUCUCUGACUCCCAAGCUUCCCAUUCUCUUAGGAGGCUGCAUUUGUGGCGCUAAAAAAAGGGAUGGGCGUGGGAGAUUCCAGGACAUGUGCUCGCUGAAGAUACAACUGUUAGUCCAAGGUAACUCCCACUCGUAGUGGCUCAACCCUCUUUGUCAAUUCACCUUCCUCUAAGUUAACUAUGGCUGCUCCACCUGUCUUUAGGGAAACCUACUCCCCAUCGCGCUGGGUAUUUUGGAUUUUUUAAAAGCGUCGCGGGGUAAAGUCAGUGUUGUGCUUUUCCUUUUCUCAGCAGGUAAGUAUUUCUGGCGCUGACAGCGGAGAGCUGCCGGGCGGGAAUAGGGGUGAAGAGAGAAUAGGGAGAGAGAUAACAGGUGUGAAGCGUCCCUCAAUGCCAGGCAUCCUGCUUUGGCACCUUCAGUAAGUUUGUCUGAAUCAUCUUUCUAUUGAAUUCACUUUCUGUUUCACAGAUUAGGAAACCUCAACUAAGUGGCCCAAGGACAGUCCUUGGAUAAUUUUAACUUGUGUCAGAAACCAAAGCCUAAGGUCUUUUAUUUUGCAGAGGCUGCUUUGGCAGGAUUUCAAUGCAUGCAGGUCCUGCGAAUCACUGCUCCUCACUCACUGAUCCAUCCCGCUGUCCACACAUUCAUUCACCCAUUCAUUUCUUAGGGGCUCAUCUGCAAGGCGUGGGGCUGGAUGAUACUAAAAAUACAAAAGGGACUCUGAUGUAAAGUAGAAGAGAUUUUUUAAAAAGAUUUACCCAGAAUUCCGGUGCUCAGCAUGGUUUCGAUUUUUCCCCCCAACAUACUAUUGAUACCUGUUAUGUUCCACAUAAUAUGAUGGAUUCUGAAGAUACAGAGAUGGGUGAGACCUAUCCUUGCCUUUCAGAAGCUCGUUGUCAUAGGCAAGAGUAAUCUCUGAGGUUAAAUUUUAGAUAUCUAUUUUUUAACAAAUUGAGCAUCAACUCUAUAUAUUCUACUGUAAUUAAUGUACUAAAUAAUUAAAUAUUACACACAAUUUCUUAUUUUUUAGAUGAAGAUGAAUCUAAAUGGUGGUUCAAGUAUGUCCUUUGUUGAUCCUAGUGGACCAUCUUGGGUGCUUCAGACUGAAACUCUACCCUCCUGUUAUGUGCUUGGCUCUAUUCCUUCUUUCUGCAGCUCUCUGUCAAAUGCCAGGCUUUGAGGGAGACCAGUCCUGACCCCUUCCUGUUUUCUCUCCUUUUUACCUGCUCCUAUCUGAGGCCUCUUUUCCUAUUUAUUUGUUGUUCUUUCUCCCUCCAUCAUCUUCUGUCAUCAAAUCAUGUGUUUUUUUUUCAUAUACUACAUCUGAGUUUAUAGGGAAUAUGUUCAGAGUUGUUUUAAUUUUUGGUUUAGUUUCUGCCUCCCUGCUCCAGAAUGUAAGCUUCAAGAAGGGCAGUGAGGAGUUCUUAACACCCGUCACUGCCUGAGAAACGGUUGGGGAUGGAGGAAGACAGCUUUGCCGGGUACAUCCUGAAAUCCCCUGAGGUGGGGGUGGGAGUGGAGGGAAGAUCAGGGAAUGUCCAUUCAUUUUAUGAAGUUGAAGUUGGGUUAAAUCCUAUUAUAUCCUGUGUUGUUGUUUGUUAAUCUCAACUUGAAGCCCUCAUCGCUAGUCAUCCACUUUUUGCUAGCUUUGUGACCUUGAAUGAAGGUUCAAGGUUACCUUGUUUCUUUGUACCUUUAUAUCUUAUGUAUAAAGUGGAAAAUUAUAUUUGGUCAUCCUAAAAUGUGAUGUCAUAGGGAAUCAGUCACUUGAGGGUAAAAGACAAAUCAAUUUAUAAGGCUGCAGAAAUUACAUUCUUGUGAGGGUCAAAGAAAGAUAUUUGUGGAUUUGAGAGUCUUCAGAUAUUAUAUUGGUAGCAUAUUUACAUGCAGAAAAUACUGAAGAAGCAAUUUUAACUAAUCAAAUAGGAACAGAGAUUUCAGAUAGGAGCAGAAAAUAAGGAGAGGAAACAGUGGUGAGUAAAAAAAAAUUGACAAAUUUUAUGUAGAGAAUUAACUCUAAAUGGACAAUGAUAGGCUCUCUGGGAAUGUGUAAGAAAAGUUUUAAAGAAGGAUUCUUUAAAUGGAUGCGACACACUGCAAGGGAAAUUCUGUGACACCUGGAACUAAAACACAUGGAACUAAAACAUCGGUCUCAGGGGGUUGAACGGUAGAGGAAUAAAAGCAUUUUGUAUCACUUAGCACACUCGUCUGGAUCAGAGGAGGGAGCAAAACAGGGAAAUGAAUCUAUUGGAAGAUAUCAACUUAUUGAGGUAAAGGAGGAAAUGGUGAAUAGCUGUUACUUUAUUUUAUAUAAUAGUAAAAAAAUUUGUGUUCAAUUAUGAGCACUAGAAACAAAUACCAGUGAUUGAAUAAAAAGUUAAUAAGGGAAUAUGAUGUAUAAGUGAGUUAAUAAGAGAACUUGAGGGAUAAGUGAAUUAAUAAGAGUCCACAGUGGAGGCAAUUUCCCCUUUUGAAAAACAUUAUCUUUUGAAUAUAUGCAGGAUAUACUUUGCAAAAGAAAAAAAGUGUAUAUUGGGGAAAGAAUUUUCACUCAUUCUCGAGACACUCAAUACUUUUCCCUAGAUAAUCUAUGGCUAUAAAAGCAUAAUAAUGCCUUUUUAAUAUAUUUUCCCAGCAACUAAGAAGUUCAGUGUUUAUAAUUGUAAUAAGAAGCGUGCUGAUCUGGCCUGAAAUAUAGUUUUACUUUAGAUAUAUGUCUCAUAAAUAGUAUUUGAGAAGUCAGGGAAUAUGCUUAGAAAGGGAUUACCAAGGCCCUAUAACACAUGAGUUUGAGGGCACAGGGAGAUUAAGAUUUAGAACAAAGUUAGGUGAAAUCUAGGGCCAAAGGAUAGCAGGGUGUGUGUGUGUGAGUGUGUGUGUGUGUGUGUGUGUGUGUUGGGUGGGGCAGGUGGGAACCUUUGGAGAAUGCCUGUAGGCUGCUAGUGAGGUGCUAUGAUCUCUAGACCUUGGUAGGUCCUUGCAAAGAGACAUGGUUCUGAAAGGUUGGCACCCUUAUAGGUUCUUAAAAUAUUUUCGUUAUCCAUAGGGGUGAACCUGGAGAUCAUUACCAAAGUUUAAAAAUUUCACCACUGGGCACACAGGUUACCCUUCUCGUGGUGGCAUGGCAAAGCUUGAUUUGCAAGAGUUUCUUUUGGAUUGUCCCCAAUGAUUCCCUUUAAAAAUAGGAGCUCCUUCAGGGUAAGGAAGGAAGGAGAAAAUAUCCCUUCUAACCUAUUUUCUCUUUUUCAUUCCAAGGACUCUGGAAAGGCACAGCAGGUUUGGUUUUGAAAUCUGUAGAAUUUUAGUGCUCUCCAUUCUCCCAAGUAGAUGACUUUAGUGAAGGUAAAAGGAAAGACUGUUUGCUGUGUCAAGGGAAGAUUCAUAUGCAAAUCCCAAGACUCAGAUGUUAUUUCAGAAGAGUUGGUGUCCAUAGUAAAGUAGAACUGGCCCGGGUUCAUCUGCCUACAAGGGCAAUUGUCUGAGGCAAAUAUGAGGAAACUGGCAGAACAGGAGGGGUGGAAUCUUCCUGGGAGAAAGAGUAAAGAGAGUUCUAGGUGGAGAGGGGAUCAAUAUGUUGAGCAAACACCUGGCUGUCUUCUUAGUUCCUAUAUGAAAUCAUGGAAAAGACUUUAGAACAAAGAAUAAAUAUGUCAUAGCAGGAAAACAAAGAGCAGUCUUUUGGCCAGAAAUAGAAACUGUUAAAAAGAAAAACAAACCAACAACAAAAAAAAAAACACCUUUAAGUUUGAAAAUGACAGAAGUUAAGAAGUGGAAAGUUGCCUGGGAUAUGCUUUUAUUGCAGCCUCUCUAGUAAACCCGUCCCCACUUCAUCUUUGUGUCUUUGCUUAUCCUAAGCAGCAUGGUGGCAGCCAUGGCAUUCUUCAGGCUGAAGUGGUCAUUUUUGGCACUUGGGCUUGAGAUGGCAGUGAAGCGGCAUCGUUUGUCUGGGGAAAUGCCAGAGGUUUGCUGUCUCACAGUAUGGAAAUUGUAGAUGUGGACACCAAAGGAGUGGGUUUAAGAGCAAAAGUUUAAUAGGCAAAAGAACAAAGAGAGAGUUUCCUCAUGCAUUGGAAGGGUGCCUGAGCAGGUUUCCGGGUUUGGGGCGAGUUGUGGUUGGUUUUAUAGAGGAGCUUGAGGAGGCAGUGUCUGAUUUACAUAGGGCUCAGAGGGUUGGUUGGAGCAGGUGUGCUAUUUAUGUGAUGCACGAAGAGCCUGGCCAUCCCACAUGAAUCUUUAGUAUGCAAACGGGGCCUCUACCUGGCCUGUGCCGUGUCGCCUGCACAAGUGAAGACAAAGAAAAGGAAAUAGGCGGCCAGGCGUGGUAGCUCAUGACUGUAAUCCUAGCACAUUUGGAGGCCAAGGACGGUGGAUCACGAGAGGUCAGGAGUUCAAGACCAGCCUGGCGAAGAUGGUGAAACCCUGCCUCUACUAAAAAAACACGAAAAAAAAAAUUAGCCAUGCGUGAUGGUGGGCACCUGUAAUCUCAGCUACUCAGGAGGCUGAGGGAGAGAAUUGCUUGAACCCAGGAGGGGGAGGUUGUAGUGAGCUGAGAAUGCACCACUGCACUCCAGACUGAGUGACAGAGCAGGAUUCCAUCUGAAAAAAAAAAAUAGGAAGAGGAAACCUCUAUGUUGAGUACGCCUGACUUCCAGCUCCUGUAUCAGCAGUGCUUGUGCCUGAUAGGUGAUGAUCAUGAGGGGGACCAGGAGCCUCUAGACUUAAGAGACAAGUUGCCAGCAUUCUCCAGAUGGAGUGUUUCCCUCCCCAGCACCACCUGCUGAUAUGCUUCCUUAUGAACUGACGGUGACUCCCAAAUUCAUAUGUUGAAGACCCAACUCCCAACGGACUUGGAGGUGGGCCUUUGAGAAGUAAUUGGGUUUAGAUUAAGUCAUAAGGGUGGAGCCCCCUUGAUGGUAUUAAGUCCUUCUAAGAAAAGGAAGAGAGUCUGAGCUCUCCUCUGUCUCCACCAUGUGAGGGCACAGAGAUGUAUGCUUCUUGGAUUUUGUUUUUAACUCAGUAUGAAAAACAUAUAUUUUAAUAAGAAAAUUACCCCAUUCAUUGUUAGUGUGUUUAUUGAUAAUGUUGGACUUACUUGUGCCAUAUUUAAGAAAUCCUCUUUCAUCCUUCCCAUGCUUUCUUGUUGUUUUUUUAAUGCAAGUGCAUGAUAAGGUUUAGGGAUCACUUUUUUAACAGGUCCACGAAGGGCUAGAUAAGGGAAGCUGGUUUGCGUUCAGGGAAGCGGCAGAGGAGGGAAGCUGGCAGCUGGGCUGUGCUAAGAUGACCUUAGCCCCAGACCCUGGAUGAACAUCCUCUUCUGGAUACAGGACCUGCCCGAGGCAUCAUUUUGAAAUAGUCAAAUUUUAUUUGCUUUGUGUUCUUUCAUCACAUAUAUUAGCUUUUGCCUCUUGAGUGCCAAAAUAUAGCUGUUUUUAUAUUA
Molecule: long non-coding RNA, 9879 nt
Organism: Homo sapiens (human)
Lineage: Eukaryota; Metazoa; Chordata; Mammalia; Primates; Hominidae
Exons: 3
Source: RefSeq, a predicted model, not a curated record